GUGCUGUUUCAUCUACCCGGCCAUGUUACUCGACUAACACAACACCACUAACAUGGCCUCGAUUUCCCUGGUGUUGGCGCAGUAUUCGCGCACCCCGGUAUAGCC
Molecule: small RNA, 105 nt
Filed under: Atlantibacter sp. RC6
Lineage: Bacteria; Pseudomonadati; Pseudomonadota; Gammaproteobacteria; Enterobacterales; Enterobacteriaceae
Description: ArcZ RNA
Rfam family: ArcZ RNA
About the family: This RNA was discovered in E. coli during a large scale screen.
Source: RNAcentral